GAUGAACGCUGGCGGCGUGCUUAACACAUGCAAGUCGAACGGAAAGGCCACAGCUUGCUGUGGUACUCGAGUGGCGAACGGGUGAGUAACACGUGGGUGAUCUGCCCUGUACUUCGGGAUAAGCUUGGGAAACUGGGUCUAAUACCGGAUAGGAAUCACAUGUGGGUGUGUGGUUGGAAAGCUUUUGCGGUAUGGGAUGAGCUCGCGGCCUAUCAGCUUGUUAGUGGGGUAAUGGCCUACCAAGGCGUCGACGGGUAGCCGGCCUGAGAGGGUGUACGGCCACAUUGGGACUGAGAUACGGCCCAGACUCCUACGGGAGGCAGCAGUGGGGAAUAUUGCACAAUGGGCGCAAGCCUGAUGCAGCGACGCCGCGUGGGGGAUGACGGCCUUCGGGUUGUAAACUCCUUUCGUCAGGGACGAAGCGAAAGUGACGGUACCUGGAUAAGAAGCACCGGCUAACUACGUG
RNAcentral lists this ribosomal RNA (466 nucleotides) under uncultured bacterium. RNAcentral's name for it is "partial 16S ribosomal RNA". It matches the Rfam family "Bacterial small subunit ribosomal RNA", at positions 28 to 507 of the family's 1533-position model. The record is from RNAcentral.